UGAAGCGGUUCUCAUUAGUCCUCCUUCAGCACAAACAUGUUCACUUCAGCUCCACUGCUGCUGUUGGCUCUCGCCACCUAUGUGUUCUGUGCUACUGAGCUCAUCCAGCCAGAUUCAGUGGUUAUAAAGCCAGGAGAGACUUUAACCAUCACCUGUAAAGUGUCUGGAGCUUCUAUCACUGAUAGCAGCAGCCACCGUGCAACAGCUUGGAUUCGACAACCUGCAGGAAAAGCUUUAGAAUGGAUCAAUUUAAUUUACUAUGAUGGGGAUAUCCUUCAGAAAGAUUCACUCAAAAACAAAUUUGCCAUCUCUCGAGACACAUCCAGUAACAGCGUGUCCUUACGGGGACAGAACAUGCAGACUGAAGACACAGCUGUGUAUUACUGCGCUCGUGAAGCACACUGACACAACAAGCUGCAGCGCUGCACAAAAACAUCAUCUACAUCUUAUCUUAACUGUUGCCUGUGGAAUCAGAUCUUUCAUGACAUGGUCAGUGUCUCCCAGUGCAGUGCAGGGAUGGUGUGAUUGGCAUUGCUGACUGUAGUGUCAGUGGUCACAGGGCUUAACUUACAGUUAACUUACAGUCCUUAUAGUUACCAAUGACAAUAACUGAAUAUGUCUGGUUUGUUUGCUCCAUAAACACACAAUGUUUUGUCAAGGUUACAGUCACAGGAACAGGAUGCAUCUGUUCUCUAACCUUUGCUGCCACAUGUGCUUUCUUUCUACAUAAUGGAAAUCUAAAAGCAACUCUGUGAAACCUGUUCAUUAUUAAUGUCUGAAGGAUGGAUUGAACUCAGUCUUCUCAUUAUAUGUAUUUUUUAUUUAAAUUACAACCUGACCACUGCUCAUAUUCUUUUGACCAUUUUUAGGUUAAAUUUAUCUAAACAAUAAAAUACUAAUGAAUUGCACAAAUAAAUCCAUGUGAUAUUACACUGUGAGAUGAUAGGGGGCACUCUUGUACUUUGUCACUUCAUGUCAUAUUAUUUCUGGUUUUCAGUUUCA
Clarias gariepinus (North African catfish) is the source of this 1002-nucleotide non-coding RNA. NCBI's taxonomy places the organism in Eukaryota, Metazoa, Chordata, Actinopteri, Siluriformes, Clariidae. The record is from the annotation of a RefSeq genome assembly.